Molecule: small RNA, 81 nt
Filed under: Arabidopsis thaliana (thale cress)
Lineage: Eukaryota; Viridiplantae; Streptophyta; Magnoliopsida; Brassicales; Brassicaceae
Description: ATSL236590
Source: RNAcentral
AUAUACAAACCUAAGCCAACAAACAGAGAGCCAAAAAAAAAAUCAAAAAAAUUUCUCAAAAAUUAAGUUAAAUCCAGCCUA